This 783-nucleotide ribosomal RNA is filed under the name uncultured Neocallimastigales. RNAcentral describes it as "partial large subunit ribosomal RNA". It matches the Rfam family "Eukaryotic large subunit ribosomal RNA", at positions 22 to 634 of the family's 3401-position model. The record is from RNAcentral. Lineage: Eukaryota; Fungi; Neocallimastigomycota; Neocallimastigomycetes; Neocallimastigales.
AUAUCAGUCAUGCAUAGCAUAUCAAUAAGCGGAGGAAAAGAAACUAACAAGGAUUCCCCUAGUAACGGCGAGUGAAGCGGGAAGAGCUCAAAUUUGAAAUCUUAAAAGGUUUUCCUUUUACGAAUUGUAGUUUAAAGAAGUGUUUUCUGUUAAAAUUUUAGUAAAAGUUCUUUGGAAUAGGACAUCAUAGAGGGUGAGAAUCCCGUAUUUGACUAGAAUUUUUUUAACUUUGUGAUACACUUUCAAAGAGUCGGAUUGUUUGGGAAUGCAGUCCAAAAUGGGUGGUAAAUUUCAUCUAAAGCUAAAUAUUGGCGAGAGACCGAUAGCGAACAAGUACCGUGAGGGAAAGAUGAAAAGAACUUUGAAAAGAGAGUUAAAUAGUACGUGAAAUUGUCAAAAGGGAAGCGUUUGGCACCAGUGUUGUUUUUCUAAAAAUCAAUUUAAAAUUUACUUAUGUUAAGUAUUUUUAGACUUUAUCAGCUAUAUAUUUAAUUUUUUGUAAUUUUUGAAUGCACUUUUUAGUUAACAAGUCAACAUCAAUUUCUUUUGUUGUAAAAAAAUAAGAGGAAGGUGGCUUGGAAUUUAUUUUCAAGUGUUUAUAGCCUUUUAUUCAUGCAAGUAGGAGAGAUUGAGGUCUGCAGCAUAGAUCCUUCGGGGCUAGAUGCAUUUUGUGCUAGAAGCUAGUAUUAUAUAAACAACUUGUUGAUUAUAUAAUAUAGUUGAUUUCUACUCGCUAGAUGUUAUUUUACCUACGCUUAGGAUGUUGACGCAUGAGAUAUACGC